GGCGCUGUGGCUUAGCUAGUUAAAGUGCCCGUCUUGGAAACAGGCGAUCCUGGGUUUAAAUCCCAGCUGUGCCU
Non-coding RNA from Larimichthys crocea (large yellow croaker), 74 nucleotides. The record is from Rfam. Lineage: Eukaryota; Metazoa; Chordata; Actinopteri; Sciaenidae.